GCCUACGGGGGGCAGCAGUAGGGAAUCUUCCACAAUGGGCGAAAGCCUGAUGGAGCAACGCCGCGUGGGUGAAGAAGGUCUUCGGAUCGUAAAACCCUGUUGUUAGAGAAGAAAGUGCGUGAGAGUAACUGUUCACGUUUCGACGGUAUCUAAACAGAAAGCCACGGCUAACUACGUGCCAGCAGCCGCGGUAAUACGUAGGUGGCAAGCGUUAUCCGGAUUUAUUGGGCGUAAAGGGAACGCAGGCGGUCUUUUAAGUCUGAUGUGAAAGCCUUCGGCUUAACCGGAGUAGUGCAUUGGAAACU
This 305-nucleotide ribosomal RNA is filed under the name uncultured bacterium. Its description in RNAcentral is "bacterial SSU rRNA". It matches the Rfam family "Bacterial small subunit ribosomal RNA", at positions 337 to 634 of the family's 1533-position model. The record is from RNAcentral.